CUUUCUUCUUUCUUGCCUAUUCUUUUUUCCAAUUUCCAGCUCUUUCAUUCCAUCAACACAAGGCGUUUCUCCACUCUCCAGCACGCUCGAUCCCAACAAAGAACUCGGUUUAUCCUCCGCACCAUUUUGGUCCUAAAAAACACAUGGUGAAGUGAAUAUGGAUCCUAUGACAAGUGACUGGUAUAAUCCUUCCUCUUCGUUUUUCCAAUUGACUGUUGCAUCUAAAUCUUUUACGUGGCAUUUUCUCCUUAAAAUCUGAAUAUACGUUUCUCAGUCAUGUUAAGGGGUAUCUUAGUUGCUGAAGAUUAGUCAGCUUGGUUAAAAAGUCCCUUCUUCCGUUUUCCCUUUUGCUCUCUUUCUUCUCUUAAUUUUUAUUUUCGUUCUAAUUUGAUUUAUUUUCCCAGUUUCCCAAUUUUGUGAUAUGCAAUGUAGUGGUAUCAAAAACUACUGACCUUAUGGAUGUAAAGUUAGGACAUACAAAACAAGUUGUAGCUCUUAGAAGAAUGAAUCUUUGCUUCGUUUUCGAUUAUAGUUUGUCUUAGAUAGAAAAUCUUCUCGUGUUUUCUUUUGGUUGUAUGUUAUUUAAUGCUCUAUCUGGACCUAUCCUCUCCAGUCCUAUCUUAUAGUAAGAUUCACAUUCAAUUUGCUCUCUGCCAUAAAAUGUCAUAGAUUAUGAAGAGCAAUAAUAACAGCAUGAGUCUAGUUUGGAGAUUCUGUUCCUAUUUCAAGAGGAGAAAGAGAAGACAUGGAAGAAGCGGGUAAAGACUGAGUCAUCUUGAGAGAGAGAGAGAGACAGACAGACAGAGAGCGAGCGAGCGAGCUUACAGAGGCAAAGAAUCUGUAUUUAGUAGUUGGGGCUUAACAGAAGAAAUUAGCACUCAAGAUGCUAUGGUAAGUUUGUCUUGUAAGAAAUAAGUGGCUAGACGACAACUUUCAAAAUCGGCAUCUCAUAGAAAGUAUGUCCUUGCUCUUCAUUUUUUUUUCCCUCAACUGGUUACCUUGAUAUGUACCACAAGGGCUAAUUGAGUAUUCUAAGAGACAUGAAUAUUUUAUUGCUGACUUUUCGGAUCUCAAACUUAUAGAACCACAAGAGAAUCUUACCAGUUGCUCAUGUAAUUAUGUUGAUUGCAUUAGAUCAGAUAUGGCCCUUGGUGUGAUGCAAGGACCAGACCAUUUACACGACCAGGAAGCUCAUGAUGAUCCUAGAACUCUUGGGAUGGUCAGGUACAUGGAUGACAUAGAUGACUGUCUAUUUCUCAAAUUUUUGAUGCUCUUUCAGUGGUUUGAAAAAGAGCUUAUUGCAGUCAUUUGCCUAUCAUGUCUAAGCUGAAAAAGAUGGAUGCCUGCAAAUUGUCAAAUUGUCUAUUCGCUUUAUACUCUCUCAAGGUGUGGAGGCUCUGAUUUCAUGUUUAGCAGUGAGACGGAAGAUGGAAAAUCUAGAAUGGAGUAACUAGGUCAACAACCCAUGAAAUUUAACUAAUAUAUAUUUCCUUUGGAUAAUACCAAACUGAAAAUAUCUUUUUUAUGGAGCAAAAGGUGAGUAAAGAUGGCUAGUGAAAGUUCCUACCUAAGGAGACUAACAUCUGUAGUAAAGUACUCUGUUUUCCCUGUAUUGCUAUACUUUAACAGACCAGAAACAAAACUAAAAUUGUUCAAAUGGAUGCCUCAGGGAAUGCACAAAACAAUUUUUGUAAUAAAUUAGUAUUAAGAAAGGCAAGUAAAGGUCAAUGAUCUUGCAUUGGUGUUUAAUAACAAGACUCAGUGGAUAAGAUUUAACUCCUUUUAACCUUGUAAAUGUGCUAAAGUUUUGACUUGUUCACUCUCAAAUAUCUUUAAGUUCUACAGCUUCUGAUUGGUUUGCUAAAAUCUAUGAUGAUGUACUACUGAUUCUGGCUAUUUAUUUUCUUAAAAAAUGCAUAUUCAUGUACCUGCACAACUUUUAUUCAGAUUCUUUAUUUAGUAAUCCAAAUAUUUAGGAUUGAUUAUGGUAGGUAAAUUAUGAAGGACUUUAUUGAAAUAAUGAAAGAAUAAUUGUAUGAUAAAUAUGUGGAUGAAAAUGGUUUUGUUGAUU
This 2071-nucleotide long non-coding RNA is filed under the name Olea europaea subsp. europaea. The record is from RNAcentral. Lineage: Eukaryota; Viridiplantae; Streptophyta; Magnoliopsida; Lamiales; Oleaceae.